Molecule: transfer RNA, 67 nt
Filed under: Camelus bactrianus (Bactrian camel)
Lineage: Eukaryota; Metazoa; Chordata; Mammalia; Artiodactyla; Camelidae
Also listed under: 2 other names
Rfam family: tRNA
About the family: Transfer RNA (tRNA) molecules are approximately 80 nucleotides in length. Their secondary structure includes four short double-helical elements and three loops (D, anti-codon, and T loops).
Source: Rfam by way of RNAcentral
GGUAGCUCAAUGGUAGAGUAUGUGCUUAGCAUGCACAAGGUCCUGGGUUCAAUCCCCAGUAACUCCA